AUUUCAUGUUUCUGCAUGUGGGUUUUGUUCUCAAGAAGAUUUUGUAUGGAACAAAAAAAGGUGAGAAGAGGGUAAGAGAUUUUCAGAGUGGAGGAAAGGAUGGAAAGGAGAGAUUUCCUAUUUUGGGAACUAACUUUGCUGGAUUUGGUAUGGAUGGAAAGCUCCAAUGCAAACCUUCUCCUUCUGUCAUAAACUAUGAAGAUUGGCUUGAAAUGAUGAGGAGUUUGUUCUCUUGAGGUUUCUAUGAGAUUUUGAAAGCCAAUUGCAUGGACAAAGUCCACGGCCAGACACAAAGAUUUUGUUCACUGGCCAUAAGGUUCCAUUUAACAACUGGCUCUGAUGUGUAUGUGCACCAAUUAGGAACUCUACCCAAUCCAUGGUGCUAGUUGUUAAAGGGCACUACAAGGCUCUGUAUGGAUUUUCCUGUUGACUUCUUCCAUGUGCUAAAUUUGUAAAAAAUUUAUAAGAAAAAAAAUGAUGGUCAUAACCUUGGUUUUUAAACCCAGAAAUCAGAAUGUAUCAGACAAUCGAACUGGAUUGAGAGCAAUGUAACAGCUAUUCAGCAAAUGCAAAGAGCAUUACCAAGAGCAUUUUGUAACAGAUUUGGUCGCCAUCAUCAGCUCUAUUUUAGAACUUGGAGAACCUGCAAACGAAGUGCUUGAAAGCCACAAUGUAUUACAAGAUCAGUUACAGGCCUCUCAGAUUUGUUCUCAAGUACCUGAAUCACUGGAUGUAAAAUGCAGUGUAUAACCAUAAAAGUUGGGAGUAUGAAACAAAUCCAUGAAUUCAUUAAAUAUUCAAACUUCAGCAGUCAACGGAACAAAGAAAGAGGGCAUUCAGAAAGGAAUGCAUGUAGCCAACUUAUACUUCUGCUGAGGAGACAUCUAAUACUUCAGAAAGGAAUGCCUGCACCAGUAAUGAAAGAGAUCAGCUUGAGUGCUUGACUAUGGAUGAACCUCAAACGAUACCAAAGAUACCGCAUUAAAGUUCAUACAUGUAUUUACUUUUGUGGAUUUUCUGUUAGUCUUUUUCGGUAGGAAGUGAGGUAAAGGGAAGUAUUUUAGCAUGGG
This is a long non-coding RNA of Magnolia sinica, 1070 nucleotides long. RefSeq lists it as uncharacterized. The record is from RefSeq and is a predicted model, not a curated record. The transcript has 3 exons. NCBI's taxonomy places the organism in Eukaryota, Viridiplantae, Streptophyta, Magnoliopsida, Magnoliales, Magnoliaceae.